UCCCUGGUGGUCCAGUGGCUAAGACUCUGCACUCCCAACGCAGGGGUCUGGGUUCCAUCCCUGAUCAGGGAA
Transfer RNA from Ovis aries (sheep), 72 nucleotides. It matches the Rfam family "tRNA". Rfam says of the family: Transfer RNA (tRNA) molecules are approximately 80 nucleotides in length. Their secondary structure includes four short double-helical elements and three loops (D, anti-codon, and T loops). The record is from Rfam. Lineage: Eukaryota; Metazoa; Chordata; Mammalia; Artiodactyla; Bovidae.